CUUCCAUCCCUAAACCUAAACAUUAUGACUCUUCUCAUCCUCUUCUCUUCAGUGUCACUGCUUUGCCAUCGUUGGGUUUCUCUACUUUAGAUUGUGUCAUCUUGUCGUCUCCUACUCCAGAUCGUGUUGGCCGCUCCAGAUUCGGGGCCAUAUGAUUGAUGAUCACAAGAUUAUACUCGAACAAGUCUUUGGCCUUUCAUUCGAUAGCAAAGUGGAGGAUUCAAUAUUCAAACAAGUCUCCGCUAUUCGAAAUCGUUCGUUUUCCUCCUUUUUUCUCACACUCAAUGUGUUCCCCCAAUCUUCUAGCCGCACAUAUGUUCAAGAUUCCAAACAUCGUGAACCCUCAGUUAUAUGAUUUUAUUACUUUGUUAUGAUUUUAUUUUAAGGAUUGGCCUAUAUUCAUCUGUUAUUCAUUUGAUUGGUUUCACGUAGCUUGGCGUUGGAACUUUCUUGCUUGGCUUAGUUGCUGCAAAAGUGGAAGCCAAUAUGACUCUUACAGAUGACUCGAAUAGAUUAGAGGAUGAAGCUUGCUGACGAUAAUGACUUGGAUGAACAUGGUGUUACUCCCAAUGGAAUUGAGAGAAAUACUAAGCUCAAGGCUCUUCAUGGUCUUCCAAAUCAACCCAAAAGAAUGCUUAGUAACUUUUGGCCCACCAAUAGAGGCACUAAUGAAAAGAAUUGAUUCAACUGGCAAAGAAGGAGGAUUUAAAGCUUAGAAGGUGGGAGGUUAAGAGAUCAAAUCUUGACUUUGACAUAUUUUGUGACAAAUAUGUGAUGUGGCAAGUGGUGGCGACUGAUGUGGGAUGAGGUGGCAACAUGUUGCGUGACGUGGUAUUGGUUGACUCACACAUGGACAGAGAUAGAGUGAAGCUUUGAAUCGAGAACCCUCUGUUAUGUUUGUCUUCUCUUUCCUUUUUCGUUCCCAAUUGGCCACCACUUGGCAUAGGAGUUGAGUUGCUGAGAGUUCGCCAUCACAAGGAGUUUGGUUAAGGUGGUGGUAUGUUCUUUCCUCUUCCCUGCUCACAACACUGUUUUGGUUUGGGGGAGCUUCAAAAUUUUCCUCUUACUUCAUCAUGAUUGGUUUGAGGUUCAAGCGAAGGAUCCAAUAGUGGACGAGAAAAAGAGCAGAGCUAGAGAUUAUUUGUGGAUUGUAAAGAACUGCAACGCCUUUCUUUUAAGCAAGUACAUUGUAAUAUAUUUAGGUUAGGAUGUCAGUAGGAUGUGAUUAUAUAUAUAUAUAUAUAUAUGCGUAUGAAUAUGUGUGGAUUGUAUGCCUAUGUAUGGAUUUUUGUAUGCUUAUAGACUUGUGAUUAGGAAACUUGGUUAUGAUGUGUGGUUUUGAUGGAUUCAUUUUGUAGACCAAGUUUUCACUACAAGCAAAUGUUUAUUUUGAUAUGUAUAUCAA
This is a long non-coding RNA of Prosopis cineraria, 1405 nucleotides long. RefSeq lists it as uncharacterized. The record is from RefSeq and is a predicted model, not a curated record. Lineage: Eukaryota; Viridiplantae; Streptophyta; Magnoliopsida; Fabales; Fabaceae. The transcript has 6 exons.